UCUCCUGGAAACGGGUGGUAAUGCCGGAUGUUCCAGUUGAUCGCAUGGUCUUCUGGGAAAGCUUUCGCGGUAUGGGAUGGGGUCGCGUCCUAUCAGCUUGACGGCGGGGUAACGGCCCACCGUGGCUUCGACGGGUAGCCGGCCUGAGAGGGCGACCGGCCACAUUGGGACUGAGAUACGGCCCAGACUCCUACGGGAGGCAGCAGUGGGGAAUAUUGCACAAUGGGCGCAAGCCUGAUGCAGCGACGCCGCGUGAGGGAUGGAGGCCUUCGGGUUGUAAACCUCUUUUAUCGGGGAGCAAGCGUGAGUGAGUUUACCCGUUGAAUAAGCACCGGCUAACUACGUGCCAGCAGCCGCGGUAAUACGUAGGGUGCAAGCGUUAUCCGGAAUUAUUGGGCGUAAAGGGCUCGUAGGCGGUUCGUCGCGUCCGGUGUGAAAGUCCAUCGCUUAACGGUGGAUCCGCGCCGGGUACGGGCGGGCUUGAGUGCGGUAGGGGAGACUGGAAUUCCCGGUGUAACGGUGGAAUGUGUAGAUA
RNAcentral lists this ribosomal RNA (535 nucleotides) under Bifidobacterium longum subsp. infantis. RNAcentral's name for it is "bacterial SSU rRNA". It matches the Rfam family "Bacterial small subunit ribosomal RNA", at positions 146 to 696 of the family's 1533-position model. The record is from RNAcentral. Lineage: Bacteria; Bacillati; Actinomycetota; Actinomycetes; Bifidobacteriales; Bifidobacteriaceae.